This 211-nucleotide unclassified non-coding RNA is filed under the name Hevea brasiliensis (rubber tree). The record is from RNAcentral. Lineage: Eukaryota; Viridiplantae; Streptophyta; Magnoliopsida; Malpighiales; Euphorbiaceae.
GAGAAUAUCCUACCGUCUCCUUCACCUCCAACCUCAAGUCGAUACCAUGCUAAUCACAUGAAAUUUAGAGGUACAUUUUCUAGGAAAGUUGAAGAAAAACCUUCUGUUCCAGUUACUGUUUCAGUUACUUCAGCUACACCUCAGAACUCCACGCCUCGUUCCGCAGAGAGGCCUGAAGCAUCACCUUUUGAAAUCCCUCCUGAAACUUCAC